Long non-coding RNA from Zingiber officinale, 1234 nucleotides. RefSeq lists it as uncharacterized. Lineage: Eukaryota; Viridiplantae; Streptophyta; Magnoliopsida; Zingiberales; Zingiberaceae. The transcript has 3 exons. The record is from RefSeq and is a predicted model, not a curated record.
ACAAAACCUCCCCCUUCGCGAAAACUCCAAAACCUAGCCUCAAAACUCAUCUCCACCGAAACUCGACUAAAACCCAUCUCCACCAAAACCUUCCUCUGUGCCUCCUCCGUCACUUUACCGCGUGCGCCGCAACCUAGUCUCCUCCGCCACUCCUCUGCACCGCUAGCGACCUAGUUUCCUCCGCUACUCCUCCACGUUGCCCACAACCUAGCUUCCUUCGCACAAAGGGUUCCAAGAGGUUUCGUCGUUCCUCGCCGCGAAGUCAUCCUUUGCACAAAGGGGCUUCAUCGUUCCUCACAGAGACGUUGUUCCUCACCGCGACGUUGUCCUUCGCACAAAGGGGUCUUGCCGGAGUGAGCUAUAUCCCCUGCCAAAGAAGAGAUCGCCUAGUGAUGCACCUUUCGCACUUGUUCUUCUCUGACUGUCCGCAACCAUUGGAUAUCUGCGACAUAAUUCCCGCACUUAAAGUGGCCUUGCAAUUGCAUUCAUCUCCUAUUGAACUACAUGCAUAGAACACAAGUGGAUCUAUAAUUCAUUCCAACUCAUUCUACAUUCAGAGAGUUAAUUUAUGUUAAGUGGGCAAAGUGUUUGCGGUAAGUUUUGGUUUCUUUUCUUACAUUAUUAUGCUAAUGAUUUUGCAAAUCAUGCUUUGAAGCUGUACUUGCUCUAUUUAUUCUAAUUCUUGUAUCAAAAUUUUUAACUUGUCAAUAGCAUUCUUCUUCUAAAUAACAUGAAUCUUGAGACAAAUCUAUGUUGCUACAUGCUGUGUGCAUAAAAAUUGUUGAUAUGUUUCCUGAAUGACUAUGCUUGAUUUGGCCUUUAGCUUACCCUUGCAGUAUAAUGUCAAUUACAAUAGUUAGCAUUGAUAUAGUGAAACUGAGAAGUACAAUUGUUGAUUAUUUUGAUUUAGAUAUUUGACGAACACUAUUCUUUGGGGGGGGGGGGGGGAUCUAAUCUAAUUUCCUCUUACCUUGUUUAAAACAACUUGCUUGCCACCAUUAGUUAGAAGUUAAUGUUAGGAAAGAAAUAGGAAGCUUUUUCGAGGAGAAAUCCUUAUGAUUUGAUUUUGGGUUUUUAAAUUAUGGGAAAUGUCCUUUGUGCGAAUACUCAUUUAAAUACUUUUCUUAGUGCAUCACAUUUGAACAUUUAUGUUAGUAUAUCCCUCUUCUAACAAACUGAAAUUUAUGUAUUUAACUAUAUAUUACACAGUUUGAUUCAUACAGCCGACCCCACC